AGAUGAAGUUGCUGGGAAGGCUUCUCCAUCAGCUUGGAUGAAUAAAGUUUUGAAGCCCUUGGAGCCUCCUGCAGAUGUAUCUACAGGGAGGACUUCCCCAGCUUCUCCAGCUCCUACCUUGGAUGCUAUACGCAAGCCCAGCUCCCAUCACAGUGGUACUCCAACAGGGAAAGUCCAAGAUACAACAGAUAAGAUGUCCCUGCAACCAUCCAAACAGAUUAGGCAAGAGCUGAAGGCACCC
Molecule: long non-coding RNA, 241 nt
Organism: Passer domesticus (house sparrow)
Lineage: Eukaryota; Metazoa; Chordata; Aves; Passeriformes; Passeridae
Exons: 3
Source: RefSeq, a predicted model, not a curated record